GACGAACGCUGGCGGCGUGCUUAACACAUGCAAGUCGAACGGAAAGGCCCUGCUUUUGUUGGGUGCUCGAGUGGCGAACGGGUGAGUAACACGUGAGUAACCUGCCCUUGACUUUGGGAUAACUUCAGGAAACUGGGGCUAAUACCGGAUAGGAGCUCCUGCUGCAUGGUGUGGGUUGGAAAGUUUCGGCGGUUGGGGAUGGACUCGCGGCUUAUCAGCUUGUUUGUGGGGUAGUGGCUUACCAAGGCUUUGACGGGUAGCCGGCCUGAGAGGGUGACCGGCCACAUUGGGACUGAGAUACGGCCCAGACGCCUACGGGAGGCAGCAGUGGGGAAUAUUGCAGAAUGGGCGGAAGCCUGAUGCAGCAACGCCGCGUGCGGGAUGACGGCCUUCGGGUUGUAAACCGCUUUCGCCUGUGACGAAGCGUGAGUGACGGUAAUGGGUAAAGAAGCACCGGCUAACUACGUG
RNAcentral lists this ribosomal RNA (468 nucleotides) under uncultured bacterium. RNAcentral's name for it is "partial 16S ribosomal RNA". It matches the Rfam family "Bacterial small subunit ribosomal RNA", at positions 28 to 507 of the family's 1533-position model. The record is from RNAcentral.